AUUGAACGCUGGCGGCAUGCCUUACACAUGCAAGUCGAACGGCAGCACGGGAGCAAUCCUGGUGGCGAGUGGCGAACGGGUGAGUAAUAUAUCGGAACGUGCCCAGUCGUGGGGAUAACGUAGCGAAAGCUACGCUAAUACCGCAUACGAUCUAUGGAUGAAAGCGGGGGAUCGCAAGACCUCGCGCGAUUGGAGCGGCCGAUAUCAGAUUAGGUAGUUGGUGAGGUAAAGGCUCACCAAGCCGACGAUCUGUAGCUGGUCUGAGAGGACGACCAGCCACACUGGGACUGAGACACGGCCCAGACUCCUACGGGAGGCAGCAGUGGGGAAUUUUGGACAAUGGGCGCGAAGCCUGAUCCAGCAAUGCCGCGUGCAGGAUGGAAGG
Molecule: ribosomal RNA, 385 nt
Filed under: uncultured bacterium
Lineage: Bacteria
Description: bacterial SSU rRNA
Rfam family: Bacterial small subunit ribosomal RNA
Source: RNAcentral